Clupea harengus (Atlantic herring) is the source of this 2682-nucleotide long non-coding RNA. NCBI's taxonomy places the organism in Eukaryota, Metazoa, Chordata, Actinopteri, Clupeiformes, Clupeidae. The record is from Ensembl.
AGGUGAUCUAUUUUAACACUAUUCACGUGCGUGUUUAUAACAGGUGAUAUUUUCACACUAUUCACGUGCGUGUUUAGAACAGGUGAUCUAUUUUAACACUAUUCACGUUCCUGUUUAUAACAGGUGAUCUAUUUUAACACUAUUCACGUUCCUGUUUAUAACAGGUGAUCUAUUUUAACACUAUUCACGUGCGUGUUUAUAACAGGUGAUCUAUUUUAACAGGUGUUUGGACACCUAGAGCCCCUUAGAACACAACAUAACACAAUGGAAUGAUCCAGAACAGUUUAUGUGCAAGAACUGGAACGUGCCACACGACUGACUCCGACAUACGGCGACCAUUUCUCUAUUCUUGCAUUAAAAGGUGCAUUCUUCUGAGGGAAAUUUGGAGUAUUUACAACCUACCACUACUUCACCAUUCCCUUUCACUAAAUCCUUCGUCUCAUUCAUGAAAAAUCACUUUGCAUUUCUACUUCAUCAAGCUGAUGUUGCGAUCCUCACCUCUCUCCCAGGUUCUGUGACUGGUUGCAGUCUCCGGCCGACACGAUGUGCGGGUAGAACUCCGCAGGGAACUCCAGCAGCAGGCGGUCGAUCAGGCACAGACGCCCCAGCAGGGCCUGCCAGUUGGUCGACUCCGUCUGGGAGCCCAAGAUGCAGUUCAGGACAUAGUCCACACCACCGAUGCCUAUGGACCCUGCACAGAGCAGAACAGCCAACACAAAUAAAAAAUCAGUUAGAUGGAGUUGGCUCAUUUCAAAAAGGUUUGUACAUUUCUAAUCUAUUUUCUAGUUUGUAAAGUUUUAAUAAAGGAAUGGCUUAACAGUGACACUAACCGCCAAUUGACUUGCCAUGCUUACGAAUUAAUACCUCAGAACGUGCGUUGUGUUCAAAACAAACAAGAGAAUGUGACUUUGUUUAACACAGGCCCCACACUGCAUAGAUGUGAAAGUUGAACUUUGAAAUGUGAGCUGGAGAGGUGGUUUGUGGGUCCUCUGUGGUUCUUAUGGACUGGACAGCUUCAGAGAAUUUGAAUGUUUGACUUUAAGUCCUGUGAGGCGAUUUGAGUCCUGUGAGGCGGUUUGAGUCCUGUGAGGCGGUUUGAGUCCUGUGAGGCGAUUUGAAGUCCUACCUGCUUUGAGGAUCUCUCUUCCCACCGCCAGCUCGCCCAUCUGACCCUUACACAGCUCCAGCAGGGUGGACACUGACAGCUGGCUGGUACGGCUGUGGAGACACACACACACACACACACACACACACACACACACACACACACACACACACACACACACACACACACACACACACAACAAUAAAUACACUUAAAACACCACUAAAAUCCCAUGAAAUAAGAUGUUUAAUUCGAGAGAUUGCUCUAAUACCAUAAUAAAUCAAUUGUACUUGAUCCCCACUUAUGGGGAAUUUGACAUACAAUAAAAAAAAAAAAUCACUUCCAAAGCUGUGUGUUCGCCUCAAAAGGAAGUUAGCGUUUUUUUUUGUAAUACAUGUUUUAUAGUUCCUGUGCAGCCACUCCACCACUAGGUGGCAGCAAAUUCCAGUAGUCACUUACAUAGGGCACCGUCUCAAUAUAUAACCCCUCACACAACGAUGGCCUAACUCUGACAACCGAUUAAUAAUCAGCUGUGUGUCUUAAAAAAAAAUCACACUCUUUUAAACAGGAUCUAUUUCCCACCAGACUUACAGAAGAGACUGGUUCCUUUUACAGAGAGGUUAGGAAAUGCAUUUGGGUUCAAACUAGGUGACAGUACCUGUUGGCGUCGGCACACUUGACCAGGAUGGUCUCCACCACGGGCCGGAGGAGCUGCUGCAGACGGCUGCGUUCGGCCAGGGAGUGGCAGGGGGUGUACACCAGCAUGGCCCGCAGGGUUUUCUGCCGAGAAACGCCAGAGGAGCAGACUUACUGACAUGUUUCAGAUUCAGGUUUCAUUCAGUGGCUUCCUUACCUUCUAGCGUCUUAUCUUCUACCUCACUCACUCACUCACUCAACUCUUAGGCAGGCAUAUCCAGACACACACACACACACACACACACACACACACACACACACACACACACACACACACACACACACACACACUCUGUCUCAGAGGAAACACAGGAGACGGCCCAUGUGGCUACAUCGCUCUGAGGCAGACAGGGUCAAAAGAUGUUCCCAACUUGUUCAUAAAAAUCUCUGUUUGAAGUCAAAAUAUUUAGCAUAGUCCAGAUAAGGAACACCUGAGGUAUGCAUUGUUUGGCUAAAUGUCUGGGGUGCCGUGAUAAUAAAAAAAGUCCCUUAGAAGCCGAAUACUGCAGACACAGAGGAGUCUAUUUGCAACUGAUAGUAAAGGGGAAAUGCUGAGCCUGGCCCGUGUGUGUAACACAACUCCCAUGGGGCAGAGAGGAAGGGAUGCACUUUUGACCCCAGAGUGUUACGACCCCCACGGUCGCCCUAAGAAUGAACCCAAGGCCAGCUGACCACCAGUGCACUUGCCUGAGUGGGAUCUCACAUUGAAACUGUGUGUGUUUCAGUGUGUGUGUGUGUGGCUUAAAAAGGUUUCAACCGUAAGAGUUAACUCUGUUAAGAUGGAGAUCAAGCUAAAUUGUUACCAAAGGGGUGAUUGUUCAAAAGAAUAGAGAGGUGAACAAACAAAAAGAACUGUUGAGAAGAAAAGUACGAUCCACAAA